CAGUGACAUCACUGGUGCCGGGUGCUCUCCCUUUCCCAAAGUGCUUCUCCUGGGUGUUGGGAAGGCCAGGAAGGCACCAGGCCCAGACAAGCCUUUGACGGUGCCUCCACCUACGAGAAACCACAAUUUGUGACUGUAACUGCUUGGAGAAGCCUCCCUUUUGUUGGACUGGGAGAUUUUUGUGAAGUCAGAGCCAGGAUCGUGUGGUUUGGAAGAGGUUCUUUGGAGAUUAGCAGCAGAUCAGUAGAUUUCUCAACUGCCUCGGACAGCUACGAGUAGGAGGAACAACAGCCUGGGGUUUAGGAGAGUCAGGAUUAUGUCCCUUGCUCUGCAAGGGCAGAGGGACUGCAGAGGGACUUUCUCCUCUGCAACCCCAGGGCAUGGGACUGGAGCCCAGGUCCUGCAGUUGAGCAACUCCUGCUGUUUCCUCAGCCAUGUGCCAUCACUUUGACCUUUGGGGAUGACUGAUGAGCAAUACCUGACCAGGUCACUUCCCGAUAUUGGAGCAUGGAAGCAUCACUCAUAGGCACAGCAGUGACCUGCAUUUUGUGGGACAAAAGAAGCAGUGUAUUUUUCAAGUUGAUGGCCAUUUCUCUUCACUCAGAGUUCAACCCCUACGAAGAGGAGGUAUAGAAAGCUGUCAUGCCAUGCAUUUAAUAAUUUAAUAAA
Non-coding RNA from Cyanistes caeruleus (blue tit), 669 nucleotides. Lineage: Eukaryota; Metazoa; Chordata; Aves; Passeriformes; Paridae. The record is from RefSeq and is a predicted model, not a curated record.